CUCUUAUGAAGAGAGGUGGAGGGACUGGCCCUGUGAAGCCUCGGCAACCUAAACGAACAUUUGUGGUGCCAAAUCCAACGGAUCGAUUCCGCUAGGUUCGAUUCCGAAAGAUAAGAG
This 117-nucleotide non-coding RNA is filed under the name Bacillus sp. (in: firmicutes). RNAcentral describes it as "Bacillus sp. SAM-I sequence". It matches the Rfam family "SAM riboswitch aptamer (S box leader)". From Rfam's summary of the family: The SAM riboswitch is found upstream of a number of genes which code for proteins involved in methionine or cysteine biosynthesis in Gram-positive bacteria. The SAM riboswitch acts at the level of transcription termination control. The predicted structure consists of a complex stem-loop region followed by a single stem loop terminator region. RNAcentral also lists the same sequence under 1 other name. The record is from RNAcentral. Lineage: Bacteria; Bacillati; Bacillota; Bacilli; Caryophanales; Bacillaceae.